GCUCUGUUGGAGAAGCGGCUUAACUCAAUGCCCUCUCAAGGCAUCAUUCACGGGUUCGAAUCCCGUACAGAGUACCA
RNAcentral lists this transfer RNA (77 nucleotides) under Bacilli bacterium. Its description in RNAcentral is "tRNA-Glu". It matches the Rfam family "tRNA". From Rfam's summary of the family: Transfer RNA (tRNA) molecules are approximately 80 nucleotides in length. The record is from RNAcentral. Lineage: Bacteria; Bacillati; Bacillota; Bacilli.